Molecule: long non-coding RNA, 468 nt
Organism: Cucurbita pepo subsp. pepo (vegetable marrow)
Lineage: Eukaryota; Viridiplantae; Streptophyta; Magnoliopsida; Cucurbitales; Cucurbitaceae
Source: RefSeq, a predicted model, not a curated record
GCUUUAUAUCGUUCUUGUUUUGUGCUCCAACAAUUACAGACAGGCCAAAAUCCGAAAGCUGAACCCACAACACAAAAGGAGAAGAAUUUCAGGUUUGCAGUGCUCAUGCAGAUAUUCUAAUCCUCUGCUCAACAGUUUUCAAAUGUCAGAAACACUCACAAGCAGGAAGCCCAAAACAAUGAGAAAUUAUCAGCCACUCCCAAUUUUCUCGUACACAAUAAGCCUUGAUUCUCCAUGAAUGGUGUAACCCAGAAGGCGGAUGAUGUUUGAGUGCUGAAUUUUGCUCAAUAGAUCAACUUCAUUCUGCCAAAUUUCAAGGUAUGGAGUUCAGUUUUCUUGUUGAUUGCUAGAGAAUAUAAGGAAUCAAAGAAACAGAACCUCAAAUUCUUUCUCUGCGUCCUUGUCGUUACAUUCUAGUUUCUUCACAGCAACAUAAAGGUUUUGUUCUAAACGAGCCUUGUAAACCCU